AUACGGAGGGUGCAAGCGUUACUCGGAAUUACUGGGCGUAAAGGACGCGUAGGCGGUUUAGAAAGUCAGAUGUGAAAGCCUAUGGCUUAACCAUAGAACUGCAUUUGAAACUUCCAAACUAGAGUGGGGGAGAGGUCAGUGGAAUUAGUGGUGUAGGGGUAAAAUCCGUAGAGAUCACUAGGAAUACUCAUUGCGAAGGCGACUGACUGGAACUUAACUGACGCUGAGGCGUGAAAGCGUGGGGAGCAAACAGGAGUAGAUACCCCAGUAGUCC
RNAcentral lists this ribosomal RNA (274 nucleotides) under uncultured bacterium. RNAcentral describes it as "partial 16S ribosomal RNA". It matches the Rfam family "Bacterial small subunit ribosomal RNA", at positions 523 to 796 of the family's 1533-position model. The record is from RNAcentral.